UUUAAAGAGCCGCGGUAUUUUGACUGUGCAAAGGUAGCAUAAUCAUUAGUAUAUUAAUUGUAUACUGGAAUGAAAGGUUUGACGAGAAAAAUACUGUCUCUAUUUAAUUUAUAUAAUUUUACUUUCUAGUGAAAAGGCUGGAAUUUUUUUUUAGGACGAUAAGACCCUAUAGAGUUUUAUUUUUUUAUUUGCUAUAUAAUUUGUUUUAUUUUUUUUUAUUUAGUAUAUAUUUAAUUUUGUUGGGGUGAUGUGAAUAAUAGUUAAACUAUUCAUUAAUUUUUUUUCAUUGAUUUAUGUUGUUUUUGAUCCUUUAUUAUUGAUUUUAAGAUUAAAUUACCUUAGGGAUAACAGCGCAAUUAUUUUUGAGAGUUCUUAUUGAUAAAAUAGAUUGUGACCUCGAUGUUGGAUUAAGGUUAUUAUUUGGGUGAAGAUGCUUAAAUUAUUGGUCUGUUCGACCAUUAAAAUCUU
Molecule: ribosomal RNA, 468 nt
Filed under: Teredorus prominemarginis
Lineage: Eukaryota; Metazoa; Arthropoda; Insecta; Orthoptera; Tetrigidae
Description: partial 16S ribosomal RNA
Rfam family: Bacterial large subunit ribosomal RNA (bases 344-468)
Source: RNAcentral